Molecule: non-coding RNA, 108 nt
Organism: Acanthosepion pharaonis
Lineage: Eukaryota; Metazoa; Mollusca; Cephalopoda; Sepiida; Sepiidae
Source: the annotation of a GenBank genome assembly
UUACGGCUAUAUUAGCUUGAAACACCAGUUCUCGUCCGAAUACCGAAAUUAAAUAACGUUGAGCCUGAUUACUACUUAAAUAGGUGACCGCUGGGGAAUAUCAGAUGC